UUCCGGUUGAUCCUGCCGGAGGCUAUUGCUAUUGGGGUUCGACUAAGCCAUGCGAGUCGAGAGUCAUUUGGACUCGGCGCACUGCUCAGUAACACGUGGUCAAACUGCCCUGUGGAAGGAGAUAACCUCGGGAAACUGAGGAUAAUAUCCUAUAGGUGCCUACAGCUGGAAUGCUUUGGCACUCAAAUGUUCCGACGCCACAGGAUGUGGCUGCGGCCGAUUAGGUUGACGGUGGGGUAACGGCCCACCGUGCCCAUAAUCGGUACGGGUUGUGAGAGCAAGAACCCGGAGAUGGGAUCUGAGACACGAUCCCAGGCCCUACGGGGCGCAGCAGGCGCGAAACCUUUGCACUGUGCGAGAGCGCGAUAAGGGAACCCCAAGUGCCCGCGCCAAGCGUGGGCUUUUCUGUACCGUAAAAUGGUACAGGAAUAAGGUCUGGGCAAGACCGGUGCCAGCCGCCGCGGUAACACCGGCAGACCAAGUGAUGGCCGAUAUUAUUGGGCCUAAAGCGUCCGUAGCCUGCCGGGUAGGUCCAUCGGGAAAUCCGCCCGCUCAACGGGCGGACGUCCGGUGGAAACUGCCUGGCUUGGGACCGAGGGACCCGAGGGGUACGUCGGGGGUAGGAGUGAAAUCCUGAGAUCCUCGACGGACCGCCGGUGGCGAAAGCGCCUCGGGAAAACGGAUCCGACGGUCAGGGACGAAAGCCAAGAUCUCGAACCGGAUUAGAUACCCGGGUAGUCUUGGCCGUAAACAAUGCUCGCUAGGUGUGACGUAGGCUACGAGCCUGCGUUGUGCCGAAGGGAAGCCGCGAAGCGAGCCGCCUGGGAAGUACGUCCGCAAGGAUGAAACUUAAAGGAAUUGGCGGGGGGAGCACUACAACGGGAGGAGCCUGCGGUUUAAUUGGACUCAACGCCGGACAUCUCACCGGCCCCGACACUGGGAGUGAAGGUCAGUUUGACGAGCUUACCAGACCCAGUGAGAGGUGGUGCAUGGCCGCCGUCAGCUCGUACCGUGAGGCGUCCUGUUAAGUUAGGCAACGAGCGAGACCCGUGUCCUUAGUUGCCAGCAGCACGUUCUGCGUGGCUGGGUACACUAAGGAGACUGCCUCUGCUAAGGAGGAGGAAGGAGCGGGCAACGGUAGGUCAGUAUGCCCCGAAUGGGCCGGGCAACACGCGGGCUACAAUGGCACAGACAGAGGGACGCGACCCCGAGAGGGGGAGCCAAUCNCUUAAACUGUGUCGUAGUUCGGAUUGAGGACUGAAACUCGUCCUCAUGAAGCUGGAUUCCGUAGUAAUCGCGCCUCAAAAAGGCGCGGUGAAUAUGUCCCUGCUCCUUGCACACACCGCCCGUC
RNAcentral lists this ribosomal RNA (1351 nucleotides) under uncultured euryarchaeote. RNAcentral describes it as "bacterial SSU rRNA". It matches the Rfam family "Archaeal small subunit ribosomal RNA". Lineage: Archaea; Methanobacteriati; Methanobacteriota. The record is from RNAcentral.